UACGAAGGGGACUAGCGUUGUUCGGAAUUACUGGGCGUAAAGCGCACGUAGGCGGCUUUGUAAGUUAGAGGUGAAAGCCCGGGGCUCAACUCCGGAACUGCCUUUAAGACUGCAUCGCUAGAAUUGUGGAGAGGUAAGUGGAAUUCCGAGUGUAGAGGUGAAAUUCGUAGAUAUUCGGAAGAACACCCGUGGCGAAGGCGGCUCUCUGGGACGGUACUGACGCUGAGACGCGAAAGCGUGGGGAGCGAACGAGG
This 254-nucleotide ribosomal RNA is filed under the name uncultured bacterium. RNAcentral's name for it is "partial 16S ribosomal RNA". It matches the Rfam family "Bacterial small subunit ribosomal RNA", at positions 524 to 777 of the family's 1533-position model. The record is from RNAcentral.